GAUGAACGCUGGCGGCGUGCUUAACACAUGCAAGUCGAACGAUGAUCCGGUGCUUGCACCGGGGAUUAGUGGCGAACGGGUGAGUAACACGUGAGUAACCUGCCCUUUAACUCUGGGAUAAGCCUGGGAAACUGGGUCUAAUACCGGAUAUGACUCCUCAUCGCAUGGUGGGGGGUGGAAAGCUUUUUGUGGUUUUGGAUGGACUCGCGGCCUAUCAGCUUGUUGGUGAGGUAAUGGCUCACCAAGGCGACGACGGGUAGCCGGCCUGAGAGGGUGACCGGCCACACUGGGACUGAGACACGGCCCAGACUCCUACGGGAGGCUGCAGUGGGGAAUAUUGCACAAUGGGCGCAAGCCUGAUGCAGCGACGCCGCGUGAGGGAUGACGGCCUUCGGGUUGUAAACCUCUUUCAGUAGGGAAGAAGCGAAAGUGACGGUACCUGCAGAAGAAGCGCCGGCUAACUACGUGCCAGCAGCCGCGGUAAUACGUAGGGCGCAAGCGUUAUCCGGAAUUAUUGGGCGUAAAGAGCUCGUAGGCGGUUUGUCGCGUCUGCCGUGAAAGUCCGGGGCUCAACUCCGGAUCUGCGGUGGGUACGGGCAGACUAGAGUGAUGUAGGGGAGACUGGAAUUCCUGGUGUAGCGGUGAAAUGCGCAGAUAUCAGGAGGAACACCGAUGGCGAAGGCAGGUCUCUGGGCAUUAACUGACGCUGAGGAGCGAAAGCAUGGGGAGCGAACAGGAUUAGAUACCCUGGUAGUCCAUGCCGUAAACGUUGGGCACUAGGUGUGGGGGACAUUCCACGUUUUCCGCGCCGUAGCUAACGCAUUAAGUGCCCCGCCUGGGGAGUACGGCCGCAAGGCUAAA
This 861-nucleotide ribosomal RNA is filed under the name uncultured bacterium. Its description in RNAcentral is "bacterial SSU rRNA". It matches the Rfam family "Bacterial small subunit ribosomal RNA", at positions 28 to 898 of the family's 1533-position model. The record is from RNAcentral.